RNA transcript from Portunus trituberculatus (swimming crab), 1227 nucleotides. RefSeq lists it as uncharacterized. The transcript is spliced from 5 exons. NCBI's taxonomy places the organism in Eukaryota, Metazoa, Arthropoda, Malacostraca, Decapoda, Portunidae. The record is from RefSeq and is a predicted model, not a curated record.
AUGGACGGUGUGGCGGUGGACGGUGCCCACGCCAGUCGCAUUCUGUGUUUUUAGUAGUUUUUUAUCGACCCUAUAUUUUGUGAUGACGCGGAACAGGACUGCUGAAUUCCUUGCUGAGGUCUUUCCUCAACGGACCUGCAGAUUCACCUUCGACAGUCAGUACCAGCCAGCCGUGAAGGAUGCGUCGACAGAUGACGUAGGAUUCUUGAGGAGUUCAGCGAAACACCCUCCUCCCACAACAGCUAGAGCCGCACUGACGAGGACCCCAGCAGCUAGCAGUUGUCUUCUACUUACACACUUCUCAUGGAUAGAGUUGGUACCCAAACAUACACGUCUACUUCUUCGAGCCUUCUUGGUUACCAUUAGAGAGGAAGAGAAAGAGAAGAUAUAAAAGAAGGGAGCUGCAAGAAGAUAGAUACAGGAAAAGAAGGAUGCUGCAAGAAGAUAUUGUGGAGGAAAAGAGCUGUAAGAAGAUGGAUAGAUACAAAAGAACAAAAGAGCUACAAGAUGAUACCUAGGUAGAGAAUGGAACAAGAGAGCUGCGAGAUGAUGGAAGCAGUCGCCACAAUGAGGACAUGUACACCUGCCUUGGUUGAAGAGAAGAUGAGACACAUGCGUUCACCAAAAGGAUUGGCUCGCAGUUCAGGGAGUGAGAGCAACUUGUCCAUAGGAAGCUUUGCAUUGCGGUUGUGGCCAACUUUCUCUAAUGCCAAAUUCUUGAAGCGUUUGUGAGCACUGAAGAAAAGUAAAAAUGAAUAAUAAUAAUGAUAACAAAUUACUAACAACCAAAGAUGAAUUCCACUGAAAAUAACAAUGCAAUUCUUAGAAGAUGAAGCAAGAGGUGCAAUGUCACACCAUGAACAAAUGUCCCAAACUAAAGAAAACAAGGAAUGUGGUAUUAAGGUCACUUCUUACAUAAUGUCCCCCUGGUGAAGCACAAAAUUAUGCCAAUGAAAUCAUAUACAAAGACAAAGAAGGCAGAAUAAUGAAAAUACAAAAUAGUAAAGAGAAGAAAUCCAAUUAAAUGUAAUAAAAAUUUUGAUGAAAGAUCAUGAAAACAUUUGUAUGACACUGCAAAGAAUAUAAAUUAAAUUCUAUGGGGUACAUUAAUGCAAAUAAACCUACACAGAGACACACCUUGUAAAGUAUUCCCAGCUAGUUAUUUCAAAUUCAGCAAUAGUGUGAGAACAGGCCUGAGUUACAUAAUAAACUAUAAAAGCUGCUGAA